UGAUCCUGGCUCAGGAUGAACGCUGGCGGCGUGCCUAACACAUGCAAGUCGAGCGAGAAAUCUUGGAAUGAGACUUCGGUUAAGUGAAGAGAUGGAAAGCGGCGGACGGGUGAGUAACGCGUAGGCAACCUGCCUUAUGCAGAGGGAUAGCCAUUGGAAACGAUGAUUAAAACCUCAUAAUGCCAUUUUAUCACAUGGUGAGAUGGUCAAAGAUUUAUCGGCAUAAGAUGGG
This 232-nucleotide ribosomal RNA is filed under the name uncultured bacterium. RNAcentral describes it as "partial 16S ribosomal RNA". It matches the Rfam family "Bacterial small subunit ribosomal RNA", at positions 14 to 229 of the family's 1533-position model. The record is from RNAcentral.